This 1863-nucleotide ribosomal RNA is filed under the name Salmonella enterica. RNAcentral describes it as "partial 23S ribosomal RNA". It matches the Rfam family "Bacterial large subunit ribosomal RNA", at positions 1 to 2290 of the family's 2925-position model. Lineage: Bacteria; Pseudomonadati; Pseudomonadota; Gammaproteobacteria; Enterobacterales; Enterobacteriaceae. RNAcentral also lists the same sequence under 1 other name. The record is from RNAcentral.
CCACCACCAAAGCAUUUGCUGUACCGCGUUGACGGAGCGAAGCGACGUCAAACCGAUAAAACAGCAGUGUAAAGUGAGCCGCAGGGCGCUUUGCGCGACAGCGCAAAGGCAGGCGGUUUCGCGUAGCGAAAGCGAAUGCUUUGGGGUGGGGUGACUGCGUACCUUUUGUAUAAUGGGUCAGCGACUUAUAUUCUGUAGCAAGGUUAACCGAAUAGGGGAGCCGGAGGGAAACCGAGUCUUAAUUGGGCGUUAAGUUGCAGGGUAUAGACCCGAAACCCGGUGAUCUAGCCAUGGGCAGGUUGAAGGUUGGGUAACACUAACUGGAGGACCGAACCGACUAAUGUUGAAAAAUUAGCGGAUGACCUGUGGCUGGGGGUGAAAGGCCAAUCAAACCGGGAGAUAGCUGGUUCUCCCCGAAAGCUAUUUAGGUAGCGCCUCGUGAAUUCAUCUCCGGGGGUAGAGCACUGUUUCGGCUAGGGGGCCAUCCCGGCUUACCAACCCGAUGCAAACUGCGAAUACCGGAGAAUGUUAUCACGGGAGACACACGGCGGGUGCUAACGUCCGUCGUGAAGAGGGAAACAACCCAGACCGCCAGCUAAGGUCCCAAAGUCAUGGUUAAGUGGGAAACGAUGUGGGAAGGCCCAGACAGCCAGGAUGUUGGCUUAGAAGCAGCCAUCAUUUAAAGAAAGCGUAAUAGCUCACUGGUCGAGUCGGCCUGCGCGGAAGAUGUAACGGGGCUAAACCAUGCACCGAAGCUGCGGCAGCGACACUGUGUGUUGUUGGGUAGGGGAGCGUUCUGUAAGCCUGUGAAGGUGUGUCGUGAGGCAUGCUGGAGGUAUCAGAAGUGCGAAUGCUGACAUAAGUAACGAUAAAGCGGGUGAAAAGCCCGCUCGCCGGAAGACCAAGGGUUCCUGUCCAACGUUAAUCGGGGCAGGGUGAGUCGACCCCUAAGGCGAGGCCGAAAGGCGUAGUCGAUGGGAAACGGGUUAAUAUUCCCGUACUUGGUGUUACUGCGAAGGGGGGACGGAGAAGGCUAUGUUGGCCGGGCGACGGUUGUCCCGGUUUAAGCGUGUAGGUGUGUGUUCCAGGUAAAUCCGGUUCACUUUAACACUGAGGCGUGACGACGAGGCACUACGGUGCUGAAGCAACAAAUGCCCUGCUUCCAGGAAAAGCCUCUAAGCAUCAGGUAACAUCAAAUCGUACCCCAAACCGACACAGGUGGUCAGGUAGAGAAUACCAAGGCGCUUGAGAGAACUCGGGUGAAGGAACUAGGCAAAAUGGUGCCGUAACUUCGGGAGAAGGCACGCUGACACGUAGGUGAAGUGAUUUACUCAUGGAGCUGAAGUCAGUCGAAGAUACCAGCUGGCUGCAACUGUUUAUUAAAAACACAGCACUGUGCAAACACGAAAGUGGACGUAUACGGUGUGACGCCUGCCCGGUGCCGGAAGGUUAAUUGAUGGGGUCAGCGCAAGCGAAGCUCCUGAUCGAAGCCCCGGUAAACGGCGGCCGUAACUAUAACGGUCCUAAGGUAGCGAAAUUCCUUGUCGGGUAAGUUCCGACCUGCACGAAUGGCGUAAUGAUGGCCAGGCUGUCUCCACCCGAGACUCAGUGAAAUUGAACUCGCUGUGAAGAUGCAGUGUACCCGCGGCAAGACGGAAAGACCCCGUGAACCUUUACUAUAGCUUGACACUGAACAUUGAGCCUUGAUGUGUAGGAUAGGUGGGAGGCUUUGAAGUGUGGACGCCAGUCUGCAUGGAGCCGACCUUGAAAUACCACCCUUUAAUGUUUGAUGUUCUAACGUGGACCCGUUACCCGGGUUGCGGACAGUGUCUGGUGGGUAGUUUGACUGGGGCGGUCUCCUCC